Long non-coding RNA from Engraulis encrasicolus (European anchovy), 474 nucleotides. RefSeq lists it as uncharacterized. The record is from RefSeq and is a predicted model, not a curated record. NCBI's taxonomy places the organism in Eukaryota, Metazoa, Chordata, Actinopteri, Clupeiformes, Engraulidae. The transcript is spliced from 2 exons.
UUAUGAUUUAUAUUUAAAUCUGUAAUUUAUAUAUUGUUCAUAUCAGUUACUUUGUAUAUGCAAUGCUAUAUAAGAUUCAUAUUUGUAACUUUUAGUGGCCUGUAUGAAGAAUUUCCCUGACCAGACGGAGGCAUCGAUAGAGAGAUGCAUAGGCGACGCGCUCAAGUUUUCUCCACACAGACGGUUAGUUGGUCAGAUUAAGCAGGAGUAAGACCACACACCAUAGCACCACUGUCAACACAUCAAUAUCCCGAUGCACCAAUCGCCUUCUUUUUUGUAAUAGUUUUAUUUUACUUUUUUACUAUUAUAUAAUUUUCCUCCCUGUCUGUCAUGUUUUUGCAUGUGUUCUAUUAGUCUAUUUAGUGCAUUGUACACAGUAUGGGGAUGUUGUAUUGCUGCAUCUGGUAUUUUGUGACACACUUUUGUUUAUUAAAAUGUCAUCAGGCAUUUUAUUAAAUGUGUAUUUUCUACCUA